CGUGGGAAGGUCACUUGAAGGCCCUGUAUUUGGGGAAGGGGUGUGGAGAGGCGGAGAGUGAGGGAGACACGAGAGAGGAGCUGCCUGGCACUGCCUAAGCUGUUGAGGGGGUCGCUGAGAGGGAACUUUCCCCAAAUCAUACGUCAAGGUGAGGAUUUGAACCUGUUCUCCUAACUCCAAAUCCAGCGCUCUUGCCUUUAUACCAUGUUGCCUCCCGACUGGCUAAAAGUGAACCAAGGAUUGUUAACCAGCUUGGACAAGAGUACUUAGAAAAGGAGGCAUGUAGUGAGAGAGAGAUACAACAGAUGGACAGUUGGAGUGGUGUUCUGGUACCUCCAAGGUACUAGAGGAGGACAUAGAAUCACAAACUCACAGAACCUCAGCAUUCAGAAGAAAGUACCUGUUCCAGAUAUUCUCCUUCACCUCACCCACUAAGAAGACAAGAAAUGCAAAAUCUGUUACAAAUAUAAAAUGAUGCAAAACAAAUUUCAGCGUUGUGUGA
This is a long non-coding RNA of Phascolarctos cinereus (koala), 502 nucleotides long. RefSeq lists it as uncharacterized. NCBI's taxonomy places the organism in Eukaryota, Metazoa, Chordata, Mammalia, Diprotodontia, Phascolarctidae. The record is from RefSeq and is a predicted model, not a curated record.